CUCUACUGUUCAGGUUAAUGAAAUAAUUUUAAAAGAGUCUUAUUGCCUUAUUUGGGUCUUCGUGUCUUGAUUUUAUCAUCUGGCUCCAAGGCCAGCCCAACUUGGCGUGUGUUCUCUGCUGAGCAUGUUUCAAAAUAACAGAGCCUGUGCUAGUGCAGUUUACGCCGAAAGUCAAGAGUCCGGCAGACUCGAAUCUUUCCUGAAAUUCAUCUAUUUCAUGUCCUGUCAAGUCCACUGCAGUAUUCAUAGAUGAUCAGAAUUUCUGUGUUGCUCCUCACUCCAACAUCUACAGUACAGCUGCACAGAUUAAGCUGUGCUAGCUCCUGAUUGCCUUCGCCAAGAAACAAGAAGCAUAUAAGUUGUUUCUGGCCAAAGAAGAAGUAAGAACACAGUGCUUCUGCUUUCUAAAGAAACAAUUUACAUCAGAAUUACCUCCCAGGAUAAUAAGUUACCAGAAAAUUGCCUAAUACUGUUAUAUAUUAAAUUGUUUUAUAUCA
Molecule: non-coding RNA, 497 nt
Organism: Heterocephalus glaber (naked mole-rat)
Lineage: Eukaryota; Metazoa; Chordata; Mammalia; Rodentia; Bathyergidae
Source: RefSeq, a predicted model, not a curated record